Molecule: long non-coding RNA, 1360 nt
Organism: Jatropha curcas
Lineage: Eukaryota; Viridiplantae; Streptophyta; Magnoliopsida; Malpighiales; Euphorbiaceae
Source: RefSeq, a predicted model, not a curated record
UCCAUUCGAAAAACCAAGAGCCAUUUGAUUCUUGAUAUAAAACCUAGACGUCUAAUAUAGUCAUAGAAAGAUCUGAUUUCAUGCAGUACUUUCAGAAUAGAAAAGCUGAAAUUAUUAUUAUAAUUUGCAGAUAAAUGGCAUUAGAAAGAAGAUUCAAGGAAGCACCUACCAAGCUCAACAUCUCUAUCUACUCCAUAUUCAACAACAAAACCAUGAUGUGAAUCUAGAGUUGAUCCGCCAACCUCAGGGAAGAAAACUACAAGGAAAAUCCACUGUAAGCAAUGAGUUCUUUUACAUAAUAUGAAAAUCAUUUUGUUCUUUUCUUAUUUCUAACUGAAUAGAGAUAUAUUACUUCUAGACAUUGGGCGUAUAUAUUCAUCCAUCAACUUCUGAAGCAUUGUUUGUAGGCCAAAGUCAUCAAGAACAGCACCAUACUUGUUCAUUGUGUUUGGGCGCAUUAUUCUGAAUUUUGUGUCAUGAACCCAUCUUUCAAAGUUUUCUACCUAAGCAAUCAGAACUUGAUAAGAAAGUUUGCAAACUAAAAUACAAGCAAAAUGGUACUAUUGACAUAAUAAAUGACAAGAAGAACAAGACGAUACCUCAGACAUCAACAUUUCGCAGAAAUGUGGCUGAAGCAUUUCAAAUACAUAUAUUCCUGGUCUGGGUUCAGCCAAUAUAUUUCUAAAACUCUGUUCUGUAUUUUCGUUGACUGCUUUGAGAAAUGAGGGCACAAAGAAGUUUUCAGCAUGCAUUGAAUACAACUCCCUAUGUAGAGGCUGCAAAAAGGAGGAAACAAUCACAAAAGAAAACAGCAUAAAGAAACAAAGGAAUUUAAGGGCUGUACCCAAGCUGCUGGGCUCGGUUUGAAGUUGAGCUCAACUCAUUUACAAUUCAUAGUUAAAAGUAAAAAACCAUAGCUCUUUUACAAGCUCAAGCUCGGCUCAUCUAUUAAACAAGCUCAAAAAGUAUACUCUGAGAUCGGCUUUUUAAGCUUAUCAAACGAGCUUUUUCCAAACCGAGUCUCAAGUAGCUCACAAGUGGCUUAGCUCAUUUACAGCCCAAUGCUAUGACUUAUAAGCAUAAUAUGAAUAUCCAAAUAUUUUAUAUACCGCAAUUCAUGAUUUAGUCUCAUAUUAACAGAAUGUAAUUCUCACUUUUCACCAUUUUAGCUAUAAUAAUAUACAUCCAUUAAAGGAAAUGACAGUCAUUGGGAAUAUCAACAAUAUGAGUUCAAUCAAGACUUUCAAAGUAUAGAGGUAAAAAUAUGUAUAAACAGUAAGCUGAUAAGCAGAAAGAAGAGGUAUAUCUAAAAAUUUGUCCUAGUGGGAGCAAUAAAUAGAAAAACAAAAACUUUAAAUGA